RNAcentral lists this ribosomal RNA (253 nucleotides) under uncultured bacterium. RNAcentral describes it as "partial 16S ribosomal RNA". It matches the Rfam family "Bacterial small subunit ribosomal RNA", at positions 524 to 776 of the family's 1533-position model. The record is from RNAcentral.
UACGUAGGGGGCGAGCGUUGUCCGGAAUUACUGGGCGUAAAGGGCGUGUAGGCGGUUAGAUAAGUCUGGGGUGAAAUGCCAUGGCUCAACCAUGGCACGGCGCUGGAAACUGUCUGACUGGAGUUCGGUAGGGGUGACUGGAAUCCCCGGUGUAACGGUGAAAUGUGUAGAUAUCGGGGGGAACACCUGUGGCGAAGGCGGGUCACUGGGCCGCAACUGACGCUGAUACGCGAAAGCGUGGGGAGCAAACAGG